GACGAACGCUGGCGGCGUGCUUAACACAUGCAAGUCGAACGGAAAGGCCUCUUUCGGGGGGUGCUCGCGUGGCGAACGGGUGAGUAACACGUGAGUAACCUGCCCUUGACUUUGGGAUAACUUCAGGAAACUGGGGCUAAUACCGGAUAGGAGCUCCUGCUGCAUGGUGGGGGUUGGAAAGUUUUUGCGGGUGGGGGUUGGCUCGCGGCUUAUCAGCUUGUUGGUGGGGUAGUGGCUUAACAAAGCUUUGUCGGGUAGCCGGCCGGGGAGGGUGGCCGGCCAAAUUGGGACCGGGGAUAGGGCCAGGCGUCUACGGGGGGGAAGAGGGGGGGAAAUUGGAAAAUGGGGGGGAGCCUGAUGGAGCAACGGCGUGGGGGGGAAGACGGGCUUUGGGUUGGAAACCGCCUUCGCUCAGGACGGAGCUGUGAGUGACGGUAGUGGGUAAAGAAGCACCGGCUAACUACGUG
This 467-nucleotide ribosomal RNA is filed under the name uncultured bacterium. RNAcentral's name for it is "partial 16S ribosomal RNA". It matches the Rfam family "Bacterial small subunit ribosomal RNA", at positions 28 to 507 of the family's 1533-position model. The record is from RNAcentral.